AACGCGAAGAACCUUACCUACCCUUGACAUCCUGCGAACCCUGAUGAGAGUUAGGGGUGCCGAAAGGAGCGCAGAGACAGGUGCUGCAUGGCUGUCGUCAGCUCGUGUUGUGAGAUGUUGGGUUAAGUCCCGUAACGAGCGCAACCCUUGUCCUUAGUUACCAGCAAGUUAAGUUGGGGACUCUAAGGAGACUGCCGGUGAUGAACCGGAGGAAGGCGGGGACGACGUCAAGUCAUCAUGGCCUUUAUGGGUAGGGCUACACACGUGCUACAAUGGGGCGUACAGAGGGUAGCCAAACCGCGAGGUGGAGCCAAUCUCUUAAAGCGUCUCGUAGUCCGGAUUGGAGUCUGCAACUCGACUCCAUGAAGUUGGAAUCGCUAGUAAUCGCGAAUCAGCAUUGUCGCGGUGAAUACGUUCCCGGGCCUUGUACACACCGGCUAC
RNAcentral lists this ribosomal RNA (441 nucleotides) under uncultured bacterium. RNAcentral's name for it is "bacterial SSU rRNA". It matches the Rfam family "Bacterial small subunit ribosomal RNA", at positions 958 to 1397 of the family's 1533-position model. The record is from RNAcentral.